This 450-nucleotide ribosomal RNA is filed under the name uncultured bacterium. Its description in RNAcentral is "bacterial SSU rRNA". It matches the Rfam family "Bacterial small subunit ribosomal RNA", at positions 354 to 796 of the family's 1533-position model. The record is from RNAcentral.
GUGGGGAAUAUUGGACAAUGGGCGAAAGCCUGAUCCAGCCAUGCUGCGUGUGUGAAGAAGGUCUUCGGAUUGUAAAGCACUUUAAGUUGGGAGGAAGGGCAGUAAGUUAAUACCUUGCUGUUUUGACGUUACCGACAGAAUAAGCACCGGCUAACUUCGUGCCAGCAGCCGCGGUAAUACGAAGGGUGCAAGCGUUAAUCGGAAUUACUGGGCGUAAAGCGCGCGUAGGUGGUUUUGUAAGUUGGAGGUGAAAUCCCCGGGCUCAACCUGGGAACUGCCUCCAAAACUGCAUGACUAGAGUACGGUAGAGGGUAGUGGAAUUUCCUGUGUAGCGGUGAAAUGCGUAGAUAUAGGAAGGAACACCAGUGGCGAAGGCGACUACCUGGACUGAUACUGACACUGAGGUGCGAAAGCGUGGGGAGCAAACAGGAUUAGAUACCCCGGUAGUCC